GCAUCUCCACUGAGAACUCUAGUACGGGGACAUGGAUCAAAAAGACACAAAAGCAAAGGAAUGAUUCCUCCAGUAAGGAUUAAGAGAUGGUUGCGAAACACAGUGGAAAAGCUGCCCCUUCUGUUUCAGUAGAUAAAGGGAGGAGCAGAGUCUUUUAACAGCAAAAAAAAACCCUAAACCAACAAACCUUAAUGCCAAAAUACUAUUUAUGGUGCAAUUACUCUCUCCUCAAGGGAAGAUGUUGACUGGGAAAAUUCUAGAUAUGUUGCAAACUAACUGGAACAUGCAGGGAGCCAGUGAAAGAUACUUUUUAGAUAUAACUUCGUUGCUAUAGACAGGAGUUGUUUAUUAGCAAUAAGAUACAAAAGUGUCUUAAACUAAGGCCUGGGGGACAAGGAUUUUUUACGGCUGUUAUGCCAGUGAUUGUUAAGUCUAGAAAUCAGCUCUUUAUAGUAGACUAUAGGUCAAAGAACUUUUUUUUUUAAUUAUUUUCUUUACAGAGGAUGAAUCUCAGAUGGCUUUCGCAAAAAAAAAAAAAAAGAAAAAGAAAAAAAAGAAAAAAAACACGUAAGUUUUAAAAUAGGCUCAGAAGAUGGGCUUUUCUGUAUAUGGAAUAUUGUAGGCUUGGUGUUGUUCAAGUGCUUGUGCCUUUUCUCGUGUUCUCAGUGUCUCAUGCAGUACGUCCAUAAGCAAAUAGUGGAUUUGCAGGUGCAUGUUCCUUUACUGCUAAUAGUCCUCACAUCAACUUGUUCAUGCACAGCUGAGGAGCGCAUACAUGGGGAGGUGUGCACUUGUAAAGGUGUAGAGCAGGGAAAAACUAAAGAAGAUGGAGAUCAGUAUAUGAUGUGAUAGAAGCAUUAUUAUAAUUAGGGAACAGCUGUGAAUCUUUAGAGUAGGUAAGCUCUCAUAGUAUCUGUCCAUGCUCAGGUAUUUUGCCACCUAACUCAUCAUGGAAAUUACUGCUGAAGGACUUCCAACUAUAUUAGAAGUUAUCAUCAAUUCUUGCUUGUUUAGAAGCAGGAACAGUAUCAUCCUGAUUUCAGCUGAAAUCGCUAUGGAGGCAUCCAUAUCUUAAUGCAUGAUCUCUAAGUGUAGCAUAUCAUGACACAUCUGUUUUCUUCAAAGAUUUGCUCGAACAAGUUUGCAAAAUUUACUGAUCUUUUUCCUUACGUCCGUUUUCCUCCUGUGCUUGAGUCUUAGAUGCAAACCCCAGUGAGAGAAGACAAUGUUCGGGUUAUUUAACACACUUUCUUUCCUCAUGCUGUAGUACGAAACUUAGAAAUUCCUUUGUCUAACACCUGGCUAUUCAGAUAACCUCUACAGUUAGAGAAGGAAAUGCAAGUUAAAGAUGGAAAUACUGAAGGAAUUUUAUCAAGUGCGAAGCAGGAACAUUUGUAAAGAUAGCUGUCACAUCUUGCUGCUCAACUGAUCUUACUUCGUCAUUCCCAAGCCCUUGUAUAUGCCCAUAACAACCUAGAAGUAAAUACAUUUUGUUUCUGAGAUCGUUUCUGAAUCACAGAACAGCCAAUAACUGGGGGCGAUGUUGGAUUAGCAAGCAAAGAUCUACCAUCCCACUGCAGUUCUUUAACAGGAUUGCAGUUCCUUUAAAUCAAUUCCCAUUGAUUCUCAAGGGCAGAGACUGCCCUCUGUGUAAUUUGUUUUACUUGAGGGGACAGAUUUUUUUCUGUCUAUUCUUUGAGUUGUCUAUUAUUAACUAGCUAAUGUUUAUUCUAACAAAUGAGCAUCACUGUAUUUUCCUGCAGGUACCAUUCCACGUAUAAGGCUGUCUCAACAGUGGAAGCUGGCUCUGUUCUUCCUCCCAUGCUUGCUUACCUGACUCUUUAAUCAAAUGCUAACUUAACAAUUCUUAUUUCUCAUGUUGUAGAGCCAUGCAAAACACAGUUUGACUUCUGGAUUUGACCCAUGGCAUUAACAAAUGGGAGAGUCAUCUUCUCACUGCAAGCUGAGUGCAUUGGAAAUGGUACCCACUGGGAAGCAAUAAACCAUGCUGAUUUUGUAGUAAUUUUCCAGAGUACAGCUGUGGUUUAAAACUUUGUGCAGCUCUCUGUAAUCUUCUUUUAUUAAAAAAUAAAAAAUAAAAAAAUGAAAAAGGAAAAGAAAACAGAAAAUAAAAC
This 2135-nucleotide long non-coding RNA is filed under the name Strigops habroptila (Kakapo). RNAcentral describes it as "lncRNA (ENSSHBG00005003971.1)". The record is from RNAcentral. Lineage: Eukaryota; Metazoa; Chordata; Aves; Psittaciformes; Psittacidae.